Triticum urartu is the source of this 289-nucleotide non-coding RNA. The record is from RefSeq and is a predicted model, not a curated record. NCBI's taxonomy places the organism in Eukaryota, Viridiplantae, Streptophyta, Magnoliopsida, Poales, Poaceae.
AGGAAGCAACUUAUAAAUGGGGGGCAAUGAUGUUACUAUUUCUUUUCCUUUUAUUAGCGUGCAUGCCAGGGAUGACUGCCUUGUGCGUAUCAUGGUGAGGAGUAGCAGCAUGCCAUAUUUGCUCGCUCUGCCGAGCACCGUGGAGGAGGCAAGGGGCCGUUAUGGAGUAAAUCAAACAUUUUAUGAGUGCCGCACGCCCGCAUUCGAUGUCGGAGAGAUACAUUAGGGGGGAAAUCGAUCUCGAAAAUGAUAUAAGAGGCAUGUUAUGAUUUAAGGGUGUUUUCCACUC